Molecule: long non-coding RNA, 1470 nt
Organism: Monomorium pharaonis (pharaoh ant)
Lineage: Eukaryota; Metazoa; Arthropoda; Insecta; Hymenoptera; Formicidae
Exons: 3
Source: RefSeq, a predicted model, not a curated record
UACAAUCGCCGUCGACAUCGGCCCCACUACCAUCGCCGCCGUCGACAUCGGCCCCACUACCAUCACCACCACCACCAUCACCAUUAUUGCCACAGCAAUAUACAAGACCUCCUCGCUGGCAACGUGGAAGUAAAAAAUUCAAAAAAAGAGGCGGCGGGCAAAACCGCGGGAGAGGCCGUGGGAGAGGCCAAAACAUAUAUAUUACGUACCAGUAAAAAAGCACCUGUCCUGGGACAAAAACCUCGCGCGCGUACAGUUGGCGCGAGGUACUAUCGUGCUUCUUGAUAUAUUUUAAUUAACAACUGUAUAUAAUAUUUUAAAAUAAAUAUUAAGCAUUCACAUAAACACAUCACUGUGCAGUUUUGAAUUUACGCGGCCCGCAUUUUCCUUUCCAUAAGUAAUAUAGGGAACAAGAAUAGCUAUUGCGGCUACUCCAGUCCACAGGUCUGGCGCAAGGAGAUGGAUCUGAGUGUGCCAUGUGCAACCUGGAGAUACGCUUACUGGAGGGUGAGAUUAGUAUUAAUAAUUUGCAACAUCAGUGAACGCGAGUCAAAGAAUUUUGAUCUGUUCGUGCAUCCAUGUGGCAGGAGUAUUUUCAUGGAGCAUUGCAAGUAAGCUAUCGAGAGCAGGUAUACCUUGAAAGUCCUCUGUGAAGGGAAGAUCAGACCUUUGAAGAAGAACAGCAGUUGCGGUACAAUAUUAUAUUUAGAUAGCAUACAGUUUUACAACCUAACUUAAAGAAUACUGUCAAACGCGUUGCCUCAGCUAUUUAGUAUCAUAUUAAGAAUAGAACCUCGCAGCAAUAGAUUAAUAUAUUUGAUAAAAAACUGCACUCAUUAACGAUAAUAUAUCACUUCUGUAAAUCAGUGAUCAUAAUAUGAAUCUAUUUCUACCUUUAUUUCUGUAUAUAUCUACUAUAUAAUUUUUUUCACUUUCCUUUAUUUAAAAUUCUACAGUCUUAAAUUCUAUCCCCAGCUGUUCAACGUUGAAUGAUGGUACAGAUUUAACUAUGUAAGUACUUAUAUAGUCCAAGAUAUCUGUGUUUAAAAACAGUAUCUAACAGUAUAAAUCUAUCUUUCAGAGAGGUGGUGUUUCUGAUGAUUAUGAUAAACUUAAUUCGGAGCAUAAGCCAAUAUAAAUUCUAAAAACAUUGUUUAACGCCGCUUAGCUCACCACUGACUAUGCUAUUAUAACGUUGGUUUACUUUGAACACUUACUUAUGCAGAAAGAAGAUGCUGUAGAUGCUGCAAUUCAAUAUAAAUGUUUCUUCCAGUGUAUAUACCAAAUUACUUAUUACUCUCAAAUGUAAUUUUUAUGAUAUAAAAAAAUAAUAGUUUAAAGUUAAUAGCAUUGAUUGUAUUAAAUUAAUAUAAUCCGAAGCAUAAGCAGAUGUAUAAAUUUAUUAAGACAUUGUUGUUUAACAUGCCACUAUUACUAUUAUUACAUUAUUAUUAUUUAUUUUACUUAUAU